Melospiza melodia melodia is the source of this 829-nucleotide long non-coding RNA. RefSeq lists it as uncharacterized. The record is from RefSeq and is a predicted model, not a curated record. The transcript has 3 exons. Lineage: Eukaryota; Metazoa; Chordata; Aves; Passeriformes; Passerellidae.
GACUUCAGUAAAGGAGGGAAAUACUGGCAAGCUCAGGCCUUGACCUCUAGCAGUGAUAUUCUUGUUUCAAGACUUGGAGGUCUACACACAUAUCCACCUAUUUCUGUCGGAGUCUACCCUAGCUGCAAUCUAUCCCUGGGCAGAGAGCCAGUGCAGAAUCUCUCCAGCACAGAAUCCCCACUUGAGCCAUGGGUUUAACUGGAACAUAAUGAAGGGAGUGGCUGAAAAUAACCUGCCCUUACAAGGCAAUCACAUUUCAGGAUUCCCAGGCCAUAGGGAAAAAGUAUCUGUAAACAGCAGGGUCUCUGGGUCCUGCCUUUCCCAUCACCUUCUUCUCCUUGGAAAAGGAAACCUUGAGAAACUUCUGUGAAAGCAGCAGUCCCAAUGUGGGAAAGAGAACUUUUGGUGGCUUUGUUCUCCCUUGAACUGCCCCUCUGUGGCCAUGCCAACUGCAGGCGAGCAGUGGAGUGCACUUUUUCCCAGUUCUGUACAAUGUGAGAGCAGGGGAAUGUCUGCUCCAGGAGCCUCUUUGCAGACGGGUAUUUUUAUUCACAUUUGACUGGAUGAUGAAGAUAUCAAAGAUAAAGCACUUCUUUGGGUAAAGCAAAAAGAACCAAGCUGGUUCUGCCAAAGGGAUCCAGCCACUGUGUGGCCGUGGAUGGGAGCCAGCUGCCCAGUCUGCAUUCGAUUUCGACAUGGAAACCAUCUGAUCAGAAGAGAAAUCUCCUAAGCAAAACUAAACAAAAUGAAGGACAUUCAGUUAAACAAUGAAAAGGAGGGUGUUAGGAGGAAAACUGAUGGCUCCUAAGGGGAGUUUCCUCUCCGUAUA